UACGGGGGGAGCAAGCGUUGUUCGGAUUUACUGGGCGUAAAGGGCGCGUAGGCGGCCAGCACAAGUCAGUUGUGAAAUCUCCGAGCUUAACUCGGAAAGGUCAACUGAUACUGUGCGGCUAGAGUGCGGAAGGGGCAACUGGAAUUCUUGGUGUAGCGGUGAAAUGCGCAGAUAUCAGGAGGAACACCAAUUGCGAAGGCAGCUCGCUGGGACGUUACUGACGCUGAGACGCGAAAGCGUGGGGAGCAAACAGG
Molecule: ribosomal RNA, 254 nt
Filed under: uncultured bacterium
Lineage: Bacteria
Description: partial 16S ribosomal RNA
Rfam family: Bacterial small subunit ribosomal RNA
Source: RNAcentral